RNAcentral lists this ribosomal RNA (516 nucleotides) under uncultured Planctomycetota bacterium. Its description in RNAcentral is "bacterial SSU rRNA". It matches the Rfam family "Bacterial small subunit ribosomal RNA", at positions 355 to 868 of the family's 1533-position model. The record is from RNAcentral. Lineage: Bacteria; Pseudomonadati; Planctomycetota.
UCGAGAAUCUUCGGCAAUGAGCGCAAGCUUGACCGAGCGACGCCGCGUGUGGGAUGAAGGCCUUCGGGUUGUAAACCGCUGUCGUAGGGGAGGAAGGCUCCGUGAAGAACGGGGUUUGACCUAUCCUAGGAGGAAGGACGGGCUAAGUUCGUGCCAGCAGCCGCGGUAAUACGAACCGUCCAAACGUUAUUCGGAAUCACUGGGCUUAAAGGGUUUGUAGGCGGCGCUGUUAGUCGGGUGUGAAAGCCCUCGGCUCAACCGAGGAAUUGCGCCCGAUACUGCAGUGCUUGAGGGAGACAGAGGUAAGCGGAACUGAUGGUGGAGCGGUGAAAUGCGUUGAUAUCAUCAGGAACACCGGUGGCGAAAGCGGCUUACUGGGUCUCUUCUGACGCUGAGAAACGAAAGCUAGGGGAGCGAAGGGGAUUAGAUACCCCCGUAGUCCUAGCUGUAAACGUUGAGCACUUGAUCGUGGACCCCCCCAUACGGUUCUCGGUCGUAGCGAAAGUGUUAAGUGCU